UACGUAGGGUGCGAGCGUUGUCCGGAAUUAUUGGGCGUAAAGAGCUCGUAGGCGGUGUGUCGCGUCGGCCGUGAAAACCUGGGGCUCAACUCUGGGCGUGCGGUCGAUACGGGCAUCACUUGAGUUCGGCAGGGGAGACUGGAAUUCCUGGUGUAGCGGUGAAAUGCGCAGAUAUCAGGAGGAACACCGGUGGCGAAGGCGGGUCUCUGGGCCGAUACUGACGCUGAGGAGCGAAAGCGUGGGGAGCGAACAGG
This 254-nucleotide ribosomal RNA is filed under the name uncultured bacterium. RNAcentral describes it as "partial 16S ribosomal RNA". It matches the Rfam family "Bacterial small subunit ribosomal RNA", at positions 524 to 776 of the family's 1533-position model. The record is from RNAcentral.